RNAcentral lists this ribosomal RNA (1134 nucleotides) under Photorhabdus luminescens. RNAcentral's name for it is "bacterial SSU rRNA". It matches the Rfam family "Bacterial small subunit ribosomal RNA", at positions 198 to 1311 of the family's 1533-position model. Lineage: Bacteria; Pseudomonadati; Pseudomonadota; Gammaproteobacteria; Enterobacterales; Morganellaceae. The record is from RNAcentral.
AGACCAAAGUGGGGGACCUGAAAGGGCCUCACGCCGUCGGAUGAACCCAGAUGGGAUUAGCUGGUAGGUAGGGUAAUGGCCUACCUAGGCGACGAUCCCUAGCUGGUCUGAGAGGAUGACCAGCCACACUGGGACUGAGACACGGCCCAGACUCCUACGGGAGGCAGCAGUGGGGAAUAUUGCACAAUGGGCGCAAGCCUGAUGCAGCCAUGCCGCGUGUAUGAAGAAGGCCUUCGGGUUGUAAAGUACUUUCAGCGGGGAGGAAGGGUUGAGCCUGAACAGGGCUGGRCCUUGACGUUACCCGCAGAAGAAGCACCGGCUAACUCCGUGCCAGCAGCCGCGGUAAUACGGAGGGUGCGAGCGUUAAUCGGAAUGACUGGGCGUAAAGCGCACGCAGGCGGUCAAUUAAGUUAGAUGUGAAAUCCCCGGGCUCAACCUGGGAACGGCAUCUAAGACUGGUUGACUGGAGUCUCGUAGAGGGGGGUAGAAUUCCAUGUGUAGCGGUGAAAUGCGUAGAGAUGUGGAGGAAUACCGGUGGCGAAGGCGGCCCCCUGGACGAAGACUGACGCUCAGGUGCGAAAGCGUGGGGAGCAAACAGGAUUAGAUACCCUGGUAGUCCACGCUGUAAACGAUGUCGAUUUGGAGGUUGCGGCCCUGAGCUGUGGCUUCCGAAGCUAACGCGUUAAAUCGACCGCCUGGGGAGUACGGCCGCAAGGUUAAAACUCAAAUGAAUUGACGGGGGCCCGCACAAGCGGUGGAGCAUGUGGUUUAAUUCGAUGCAACGCGAAGAACCUUACCUACUCUUGACAUCCUCAGAAUUUGCUGGAGACAGCGAAGUGCCUUCGGGAACUGAGAGACAGGUGCUGCAUGGCUGUCGUCAGCUCGUGUUGUGAAAUGUUGGGUUAAGUCCCGCAACGAGCGCAACCCUUAUCCUUUGUUGCCAGCACGUCGAGGUGGGAACUCAAAGGAGACUGCCGGUGAUAAACCGGAGGAAGGUGGGGAUGACGUCAAGUCAUCAUGGCCCUUACGAGUAGGGCUACACACGUGCUACAAUGGCGGAUACAAAGUGAAGCGACCUCGCGAGAGCAAGCGGAACACACAAAGUCUGUCGUAGUCCGGAUUGGAGUCUGCAAC